ACUAUUUUAGUAUAAAUAGAUUAUACUAGCUUUUCGUGCUAAAGAUACUAAUUUAUGUUUAGUAAGUAGUU
RNAcentral lists this transfer RNA (71 nucleotides) under Rhinebothroides sp. MZUSP 8027. RNAcentral describes it as "tRNA-Glu". RNAcentral also lists the same sequence under 2 other names. Lineage: Eukaryota; Metazoa; Platyhelminthes; Cestoda; Rhinebothriidea; Rhinebothriidae. The record is from RNAcentral.